Ipomoea nil (Japanese morning glory) is the source of this 92-nucleotide long non-coding RNA. RefSeq lists it as uncharacterized. The transcript has 3 exons. NCBI's taxonomy places the organism in Eukaryota, Viridiplantae, Streptophyta, Magnoliopsida, Solanales, Convolvulaceae. The record is from RefSeq and is a predicted model, not a curated record.
GUAGCGUCACCUUUACUCACGCACAACGGCUUCUUAUUAACAUAUAGCGUCUGUAGCGUUAGAAGCCGUUGCUUGUUUCCUCAGCCUACUCU